UACGAAGGGGGCUAGCGUUACUCGGAAUCAUUGGGCGUAAAGCGCACGUAGGCGGCCUGUUAAGUCGGGUGUGAAAUCCCUCGGCUCAACCGAGGAAGUGCAUUCGAAACUAGCAGGCUUGAAUGUGGAAGAGGGUCGUGGAAUUCCCGGUGUAGAGGUGAAAUUCGUAGAUAUCGGGAGGAACACCAGUGGCGAAGGCGGCGACCUGGGCCAACAUUGACGCUGAGGUGCGAAAGCGUGGGGAGCAAACAGG
RNAcentral lists this ribosomal RNA (253 nucleotides) under uncultured bacterium. RNAcentral describes it as "partial 16S ribosomal RNA". It matches the Rfam family "Bacterial small subunit ribosomal RNA", at positions 524 to 776 of the family's 1533-position model. The record is from RNAcentral.